GUAGACGCUGGCGGCGUGCCUAAACAUGCAAGUCGACCAUACAUCAUCGCGGUAGCUUGCUCCCUGAUGUUAGCGGCGGACGGGUGAGUAACACGUGGGUAACCUGCCUGUAAGACUGGGAUAACUCCGGGAAACCGGGGCUAAUACCGGAUGCUUGUUUGAACCGCAUGGUUCAGACAUAAAAGGUGGCUUCGGCUACCACUUACAGAUGGACCCGCGGCGCAUUAGCUAGUUGGUGAGGUAACGGCUCACCAAGGCGACGAUGCGUAGCCGACCUGAGAGGGUGAUCGGCCACACUGGGACUGAGACACGGCCCAGACUCCUACGGGAGGCAGCAGUAGGGAAUCUUCCGCAAUGGACGAAAGUCUGACGGAGCAACGCCGCGUGAGUGAUGAAGGUUUUUCGGAUCGUAAAGCUCUGUUGGUAGGGAAGAACAAGUGCCGUUCAAUAAGGGCGGCACCUUUGACGGUACCUACCAAGAAAAGCCACGGCUUAACUACGUGCCAACAACCGG
RNAcentral lists this ribosomal RNA (514 nucleotides) under Bacillus amyloliquefaciens. RNAcentral describes it as "bacterial SSU rRNA". It matches the Rfam family "Bacterial small subunit ribosomal RNA", at positions 29 to 518 of the family's 1533-position model. Lineage: Bacteria; Bacillati; Bacillota; Bacilli; Caryophanales; Bacillaceae. The record is from RNAcentral.